Molecule: ribosomal RNA, 483 nt
Filed under: uncultured bacterium
Lineage: Bacteria
Description: bacterial SSU rRNA
Rfam family: Bacterial small subunit ribosomal RNA
Source: RNAcentral
YUACGUGCCAGCAGCCGCGGUAAUACGUAGGUGGCAAGCGUUGUCCGGAUUUAUUGGGCGUAAAGCGAGCGCAGGCGGUUCCUUAAGUCUGAUGUGAAAGCCCCCGGCUCAACCGGGGAGGGUCAUUGGAAACUGGGGAACUUGAGUGCAGAAGAGGAGAGUGGAAUUCCAUGUGUAGCGGUGAAAUGCGUAGAUAUAUGGAGGAACACCAGUGGCGAAGGCGACUCUCUGGUCUGUAACUGACGCUGAGGCUCGAAAGCGUGGGUAGCAAACAGGAUUAGAUACUCUGGUAGUCCACGCCGUAAACGAUGAGUGCUAAGUGUUGGAGGGUUUCCGCCCUUCAGUGCUGCAGUUAACGCAUUAAGCACUCCGCCUGGGGAGUACGACCGCAAGGUUGAAACUCAAAGGAAUUGACGGGGACCCGCACAAGCGGUGGAGUAUGUGGUUUAAUUCGACGCAACGCGAAGAACCUUACCAGGUCUU